GAUGAAGAACGCAGCAAAAUGCGAUAAGUAGUGUGAAUUGCAGAAUUCAGUGAAUCAUCGAAUCUUUGAACGCACAUUGCGCCCCUUGGUAUUCCGUGGGGCAUGCCUGUUCGAGCGUCAUUUACCCCCUCAAGCUCCGCUUGGUGUUGGGCGUCUGUCCCGCUUCGCGCGCGGACUCGCCCCAAAGGUAUUGGCAGCGGUCGUGCCAGCUUCUCGCGCAGCACAUUGCGCUUCUCGAGGCACCGGUGGGCCCGCGUCCAUCAAGCUCACCCCCCCAGUUUGACCUCGGAUCAGGUAGGGAUACCCGCUGAACUUAAGCAUAUCAAUAAGCGGAGGA
This 337-nucleotide unclassified non-coding RNA is filed under the name soil metagenome. Its description in RNAcentral is "partial contains 5.8S ribosomal RNA, internal transcribed spacer 2, and large subunit ribosomal RNA". The stretch from base 1 to 120 matches the Rfam family "5.8S ribosomal RNA", at positions 35 to 154 of the family's 154-position model. The record is from RNAcentral.